This 460-nucleotide ribosomal RNA is filed under the name uncultured bacterium. RNAcentral's name for it is "partial 16S ribosomal RNA". It matches the Rfam family "Bacterial small subunit ribosomal RNA", at positions 338 to 795 of the family's 1533-position model. The record is from RNAcentral.
CCUACGGGAGGCAGCAGUGAGGAAUAUUGGUCAGUGGGCUUACGCCUGAACCAGCCAAGUCGCGUGAGGGAAGACUGCCCUAUGGGUUGUAAACCUCUUUUGUCAGGGAGCAACGCCGGCUACGUGUAGCCGGACUGAGAGUACCUGAAGAAAAAGCAUCGGCUAACUCCGUGCCAGCAGCCGCGGUAGUACGGAGGAUGCGAGCGUUAUCUGGAUUUAUUGGGUUUAAUGGGUGCGCAGGCGGAAGAUCAAGUCAGCGGUAAAAUUGCGAGGCUCAACCUCGUCGAGCCGUUGAAACUGGUUUUCUUGAGUGAGUGAGAGGUAUGCGGAAUGCGUGGUGUAGCGGUGAAAUGCAUAGAUAUCACGCAGAACUCCGAUGGCGAAGGCAGCUUACUGGACUGUAACUGACGUUGAGGCUCGAAAGCGUGGGGAGCAAACAGGAUUAGAUACCCCAGUAGUC